Molecule: RNA transcript, 705 nt
Organism: Lutzomyia longipalpis
Lineage: Eukaryota; Metazoa; Arthropoda; Insecta; Diptera; Psychodidae
Exons: 3
Source: RefSeq, a predicted model, not a curated record
AUGAUCAUCGAUGGUUGGUCGUACUACUUUUACGUGAUUAUCCUGAUAGUUCCGGUUUAUCUGGCGUUUAAGCUCCUCCAGUGGAUGGGAUGGUCACUCUUUGUCAACAAUUAGCACUCCCGGCUGAUAACAGCUCUAAAAAGUCUGAUUUAUCUUUCGUACACUAAAGCCGUCCUGAGGUCUUCUAAAGGCAGACUAGACUACUAACUAAUUGCUAAUCAAUUAGUUACUACUGAACUGAAGUUAGGCUUUAAAGAUAUGUUUAAAAAUAAUUAACUUCUAGAACUCCAACUUACUAAGCCUGUUAAACCGGUUUUAUACUGGCUGGAAACAGCUUUAAAACAACAUCUGAAAGUCUUCUAAAGACAGAUCCAGACAACUUCUCCUAAUCAACAACGGAUUAUGAGCAAAACUACUGAACUUGUAAGAAUUCCAGAUAAAUAGUUAAGAUAUAGUUAGGCCUUAAAGAUCUGCUUAAAAAUGUAAGUCUUAAGGCUGGAUAGACUAGAAAUUUCAUGCGAUUCGGUGAGAUUUUCAAGUCCGAUCCGAAGUCCAUCUCAAGAAUCAUUUUGGACUUCGAACUGUUUUGGAUCAGACGAUCGGACAAGGAAACCUCGCCGCGUUGUACAGGAGGAAUUUCUCUUCCAUCUGUUUAAGCUUUGAAUGAUUUUUGUUAAAUAAAGAAAAGGAUUUUUAAUUUUGUAA